AAACUUAAAGGAAUUGACGGGGCCCGCACAAGCGGUGGAGUAUGUGGUUUAAUUCGAUGCAACGCGAAGAACCUUACCUGGUCUUGACAUCCCGGAGACCCUUAGGAAACUAGGGGGUGCUUCCAUCUGGAAGAAUCUGGAGACAGGUGCUGCAUGGCUGUCGUCAGCUCGUGUCGUGAGAUGUUGGGUUAAGUCCCGCAACGAGCGCAACCCUUGCCUUUAGUUGCCAGCAGUUCGGCUGGGCACUCUAAAGGGACUGCCGGUGUUAAACCGGAGGAAGGUGGGGAUGACGUCAAGUCCUCAUGGCCUUUAUGACCAGGGCUACACACGUACUACAAUGGCCGAUACAAAGGGCAGCGACACUGCGAGGUGAAGCCAAUCCCGUAAAAUCGGUCUCAGUCCGGAUUGGAGCCUGCAACUCGACUCCAUGAAGUUGGAAUCGCUAGUAAUCGUGGAUCAGCAUGCCACGGUGAAUACGUUCCCGGGCCUU
This 490-nucleotide ribosomal RNA is filed under the name uncultured Desulfobulbus sp. Its description in RNAcentral is "bacterial SSU rRNA". It matches the Rfam family "Bacterial small subunit ribosomal RNA", at positions 897 to 1382 of the family's 1533-position model. Lineage: Bacteria; Pseudomonadati; Thermodesulfobacteriota; Desulfobulbia; Desulfobulbales; Desulfobulbaceae. The record is from RNAcentral.